AGCGAACGCUGGCGGCAGGCCUAACACAUGCAAGUCGAACGAACCUUUCGGGGUUAGUGGCGGACGGGGGAGUAACACGUGGGAACGUGCCUUUAGGUUCGGAAUCACUCAGGGAAACUUGUGCUAAUACCGAAUGUGCCCUUCGGGGGAAAGAUUAAUCGCUUUUAGAGCGGCCCGCGUCUGAUUCGCUAGUUGGGUGAGGUAAUGGCUCACCAAGGCGACGAUCAGGAGCUGGUCUGGGAGGAGGAUUAGACACAUUGGGACUGAGACACGGCCCAAACUCCUACGGGAGGCAGCAGUGGGGAAUCUUGCGCGAUGGGCGAAAGCGUAACGCAGCCAUGCCGCGUGAAUGAUGAAGGUCUUAGGAAUGUAAAAUUCUUUCACCGGAGGCGAUAAUGACGGUACCCGGAGAAGAAGCCCCGGCUAACUUCGUG
RNAcentral lists this ribosomal RNA (434 nucleotides) under uncultured bacterium. RNAcentral's name for it is "partial 16S ribosomal RNA". It matches the Rfam family "Bacterial small subunit ribosomal RNA", at positions 29 to 507 of the family's 1533-position model. The record is from RNAcentral.